UAGGGAAUCUUCGGCAAUGGGGGGAACCCUGACCGAGCAACGCCGCGUGAGUGAAGAAGGUUUUCGGAUCGUAAAGCUCUGUUGUUAAGGAAGAACGAGUGUGAGAAUGGAAAGUUCAUGCUGUGACGGUACUUAACCAGAAAGGGACGGCUAACUACGUGCCAGCAGCCGCGGUAAUACGUAGGUCCCGAGCGUUGUCCGGAUUUAUUGGGCGUAAAGCGCGCGCAGGUGGUGUAGAAAGUCUGAUGUGAAAGCCCACGGCUCAACCGUGGAGGGUCAUUGGAAACUAAUAAACUUGAGUGCAGGAGAGAAAAGUGGAAUUCCUAGUGUAGCGGUGAAAUGCGUAGAGAUUAGGAGGAACACCGGUGGCGAAAGCGGCUUUUUGGCCUGCAACUGACACUGAGGCGCGAAAGCGUGGGGAGCAAACAGG
RNAcentral lists this ribosomal RNA (430 nucleotides) under Verrucomicrobiota bacterium. Its description in RNAcentral is "Verrucomicrobia bacterium partial 16S ribosomal RNA". It matches the Rfam family "Bacterial small subunit ribosomal RNA", at positions 355 to 776 of the family's 1533-position model. Lineage: Bacteria; Pseudomonadati; Verrucomicrobiota. The record is from RNAcentral.